Molecule: ribosomal RNA, 2905 nt
Filed under: Klebsiella oxytoca
Lineage: Bacteria; Pseudomonadati; Pseudomonadota; Gammaproteobacteria; Enterobacterales; Enterobacteriaceae
Also listed under: 1 other name
Description: bacterial LSU rRNA
Rfam family: Bacterial large subunit ribosomal RNA
Source: RNAcentral
UUAAGCGACUAAGCGUACACGGUGGAUGCCCUGGCAGUCAGAGGCGAUGAAGGACGUGCUAAUCUGCGAAAAGCGUCGGUAAGGUGAUAUGAACCGUUAUAGCCGGCGAUGUCCGAAUGGGGAAACCCAGUGCAAUUCGUUGCACUAUCGUUAACUGAAUACAUAGGUUAACGAGGCGAACCGGGGGAACUGAAACAUCUAAGUACCCCGAGGAAAAGAAAUCAACCGAGAUUCCCCCAGUAGCGGCGAGCGAACGGGGAGCAGCCCGGAGUCUGAAUCAGCUUGUGUGUUAGUGGAAGCGUCUGGAAAGUCGCAGGGUACAGGGUGAUACUCCCGUACACUAAAAUGCACAGGUUGUGAACUCGAAGAGUAGGGCGGGACACGUGGUAUCCUGUCUGAAUAUGGGGGGACCAUCCUCCAAGGCUAAAUACUCCUGACUGACCGAUAGUGAACCAGUACCGUGAGGGAAAGGCGAAAAGAACCCCGGCGAGGGGAGUGAAAAAGAACCUGAAACCGUGUACGUACAAGCAGUAGGAGCCCACUAGUUGGGUGACUGCGUACCUUUUGUAUAAUGGGUCAGCGACUUAUAUUCUGUAGCAAGGUUAACCGUAUAGGGGAGCCGCAGGGAAACCGAGUCUUAACUGGGCGUUAAGUUGCAGGGUAUAGACCCGAAACCCGGUGAUCUAGCCAUGGGCAGGUUGAAGGUUGGGUAACACUAACUGGAGGACCGAACCGACUAAUGUUGAAAAAUUAGCGGAUGACUUGUGGCUGGGGGUGAAAGGCCAAUCAAACCGGGAGAUAGCUGGUUCUCCCCGAAAGCUAUUUAGGUAGCGCCUCGUGAACUCAUCUUCGGGGGUAGAGCACUGUUUCGGCUAGGGGGUCAUCCCGACUUACCAACCCGAUGCAAACUACGAAUACCGAAGAAUGUUAUCACGGGAGACACACGGCGGGUGCUAACGUCCGUCGUGAAGAGGGAAACAACCCAGACCGCCAGCUAAGGUCCCAAAGUCAUGGUUAAGUGGGAAACGAUGUGGGAAGGCCCAGACAGCCAGGAUGUUGGCUUAGAAGCAGCCAUCAUUUAAAGAAAGCGUAAUAGCUCACUGGUCGAGUCGGCCUGCGCGGAAGAUGUAACGGGGCUAAACCAUGCACCGAAGCUGCGGCAGCGACGCUUAUGCGUUGUUGGGUAGGGGAGCGUUCUGUAAGCCGUUGAAGGUGGCCUGUGAGGGUUGCUGGAGGUAUCAGAAGUGCGAAUGCUGACAUAAGUAACGAUAAUGCGGGUGAAAAACCCGCACGCCGGAAGACCAAGGGUUCCUGUCCAACGUUAAUCGGGGCAGGGUGAGUCGACCCCUAAGGCGAGGCCGAAAGGCGUAGUCGAUGGGAAACAGGUUAAUAUUCCUGUACUCGGUGUUACUGCGAAGGGGGGACGGAGAAGGCUAUGUUGGCCGGGCGACGGUUGUCCCGGUUUAAGCAUGUAGGCGGAUGUUCCAGGUAAAUCCGGAACGUUAUUAACGCUGAGGUGUGAUGACGAGGCACUACGGUGCUGAAGUGACAAAUGCCCUGCUUCCAGGAAAAGCCUCUAAGCAUCAGGUAACAUCAAAUCGUACCCCAAACCGACACAGGUGGUCAGGUAGAGAAUACCAAGGCGCUUGAGAGAACUCGGGUGAAGGAACUAGGCAAAAUGGUGCCGUAACUUCGGGAGAAGGCACGCUGAUGGUAAGUGAAGUGACUUGCUCAUGGAGCUGAAAUCAGUCGAAGAUACCAGCUGGCUGCAACUGUUUAUUAAAAACACAGCACUGUGCAAACACGAAAGUGGACGUAUACGGUGUGACGCCUGCCCGGUGCCGGAAGGUUAAUUGAUGGGGUUAUCCGUAAGGAGAAGCUCUUGAUCGAAGCCCCGGUAAACGGCGGCCGUAACUAUAACGGUCCUAAGGUAGCGAAAUUCCUUGUCGGGUAAGUUCCGACCUGCACGAAUGGCGUAAUGAUGGCCAGGCUGUCUCCACCCGAGACUCAGUGAAAUUGAACUCGCUGUGAAGAUGCAGUGUACCCGCGGCAAGACGGAAAGACCCCGUGAACCUUUACUAUAGCUUGACACUGAACACUGGUCCUUGAUGUGUAGGAUAGGUGGGAGGCUUUGAAGUGUGGACGCCAGUCUGCAUGGAGCCAUCCUUGAAAUACCACCCUUUAAUGGCUGGUGUUCUAACGUGGGCCCCUAAUCGGGGUUGCGGACAGUGUCUGGUGGGUAGUUUGACUGGGGCGGUCUCCUCCUAAAGAGUAACGGAGGAGCACGAAGGUCAGCUAAUCCUGGUCGGACAUCAGGAGGUUAGUGCAAUGGCAUAAGCUGGCUUGACUGCGAGCGUGACGGCGCGAGCAGGUGCGAAAGCAGGUCAUAGUGAUCCGGUGGUUCUGAAUGGAAGGGCCAUCGCUCAACGGAUAAAAGGUACUCCGGGGAUAACAGGCUGAUACCGCCCAAGAGUUCAUAUCGACGGCGGUGUUUGGCACCUCGAUGUCGGCUCAUCACAUCCUGGGGCUGAAGUAGGUCCCAAGGGUAUGGCUGUUCGCCAUUUAAAGUGGUACGCGAGCUGGGUUUAGAACGUCGUGAGACAGUUCGGUCCCUAUCUGCCGUGGGCGCUGGAGAAUUGAGGGGGGCUGCUCCUAGUACGAGAGGACCGGAGUGGACGCAUCACUGGUGUUCGGGUUGUCAUGCCAAUGGCAUUGCCCGGUAGCUAAAUGCGGAAGAGAUAAGUGCUGAAAGCAUCUAAGCACGAAACUUGCCCCGAGAUGAGUUCUCCCUGACUCCUUGAGAGUCCUGAAGGAACGUUGAAGACGACGACGUUGAUAGGCCGGGUGUGUAAGCGCAGCGAUGCGUUGAGCUAACCGGUACUAAUGAACCGUGAGGCUUAACCUU